Molecule: ribosomal RNA, 434 nt
Filed under: uncultured bacterium
Lineage: Bacteria
Description: partial 16S ribosomal RNA
Rfam family: Bacterial small subunit ribosomal RNA
Source: RNAcentral
AGCGAACGCUGGCGGCAGGCCUAACACAUGCAAGUCGAACGAACCUUUCGGGGUUAGUGGCGGACGGGUGAGUAACACGUGGGAACGUGCCUUUAGGUUCGGAAUAACUCAGGGAAACUUGUGCUAAUACCGAAUGUGCCCUUCGGGGGAAAGAUUUAUCGGCUUUAGAGCGGCCCGCGUCUGAUUAGCUAGUUGGUUGAGGUAAUGGCUCACCAAGGCGACGAUCAGUAGCUGGUCUGAGAGGAUGAUCAGCCACAUGGGGACUGAGACACGGCCCAAACUCCGGCGGGAGGCAGCAGUGGGGAAUCUUGCGCAAUGGGCGAAAGCCUGACGCAGCCAUGCCGCGUGAAUGAUGAAGGUCUUAGGAUAGUAAAAUUCUUUCACCGGAGACGAUAAUGACGGUACCCGGAGAAGAAGCCCCGGCUAACUUCGUG